UACGAAGGGGGCUAGCGUUGCUCGGAAUUACUGGGCGUAAAGCGCACGUAGGCGGUUUCUUAAGUCGGGGGUGAAAUCCUGGAGCUCAACUCCAGAACUGCCUUCGAUACUGAGAGACUUGAGUCCGGGGAGAGGUGAGUGGAACUGCGAGUGUAGAGGUGAAAUUCGUAGAUAUUCGCAAGAACACCAGUGGCGAAGGCGGCUCACUGGCCCGGUACUGACGCUGAGGUGGCGAAAGCGUGGGGAGCAAACAGG
RNAcentral lists this ribosomal RNA (255 nucleotides) under uncultured bacterium. RNAcentral describes it as "partial 16S ribosomal RNA". It matches the Rfam family "Bacterial small subunit ribosomal RNA", at positions 524 to 776 of the family's 1533-position model. The record is from RNAcentral.